This 492-nucleotide ribosomal RNA is filed under the name uncultured bacterium. Its description in RNAcentral is "partial 16S ribosomal RNA". It matches the Rfam family "Bacterial small subunit ribosomal RNA", at positions 29 to 507 of the family's 1533-position model. The record is from RNAcentral.
AGUGAACGCUGGCGGUAGGCCUAACACAUGCAAGUCGAACGGCAGCACAGUAAGAGCUUGCUCUUACGGGUGGCGAGUGGCGGACGGGUGAGGAAUACAUCGGAAUCUACUUUUUCGUGGGGGAUAACGUAGGGAAACUUACGCUAAUACCGCAUACGACCUACGGGUGAAAGCAGGGGAUCUUCGGACCUUGCGCGAUUGAAUGAGCCGAUGUCGGAUUAGCUAGUUGGCGGGGUAAAGGCCCACCAAGGCGACGAUCCGUAGCUGGUCUGAGAGGAUGAUCAGCCACACUGGAACUGAGACACGGUCCAGACUCCUACGGGAGGCAGCAGUGGGGAAUAUUGGAUAAUGGGCGCAGGCCUGAUCCAGCCAUACCGCGUGGGUGAAGAAGGCCUUCGGGUUGUAAAGCCCUUUUGUUGGGAAAGAAAAGCAGCAGGUUAAUACCCCGCUGUUCUGACGGUACCCAAAGAAUAAGCACCGGCUAACUUCGUG